RNAcentral lists this ribosomal RNA (259 nucleotides) under uncultured bacterium. Its description in RNAcentral is "partial 16S ribosomal RNA". It matches the Rfam family "Bacterial small subunit ribosomal RNA", at positions 524 to 782 of the family's 1533-position model. The record is from RNAcentral.
UACGUAGGGUGCAAGCGUUGUCCGGAAUUAUUGGGCGUAAAGAGCUCGUAGGCGGUUUGUCGCGUCUGCUGUGAAAACUGGAGGCUCAACCUCCAGCCUGCAGUGGGUACGGGCAAACUAGAGUGCGGUAGGGGAGAUUGGAAUUCCUGGUGUAGCGGUGGAAUGCGCAGAUAUCAGGAGGAACACCGAUGGCGAAGGCAGGUCACUGGGCCGCAACUGACGCUGAGGAGCGAAAGCAUGGGGAGCGAACAGGAUUAGA